GACCUGCGGAGGGAUCAUUGCUGGAACGCGCCCCUGGCGCACCCAGAAACCCUUUGUGAACUUAUACCUUACUGUUGCCUCGGCGCAGGCCGUCCUUACGGGACCCUUGGUAACAAGGAGCAGCCGGCCGGUGGCCAAGUUAACUCUUGUAUUAAUUUGUCUCUCUGAGCAUAAACAUAAAUGAAUCAAAACUUUCAACAACGGAUCUCUUGGUUCUGGCAUCGAUGAAGAACGCAGCGAAAUGCGAUAAGUAAUGUGAAUUGCAGAAUUCAGUGAAUCAUCGAAUCUUUGAACGCACAUUGCGCCCUCUGGUAUUCCGGAGGGCAUGCCUGUUCGAGCGUCAUUUCAACCCUCAAGCCUGGCUUGGUGUUGGGGCACUGCUUUACCCACAAGCAGGCCCUGAAAUAUAGUGGCGAGCUCGCCAGGACUCCGAGCGUAGUAGUUAAACCCUCGCUUUGGAAGGCCUGGCGGUGCCCUGCCGUUAAACCCCAACUUUUGAAAAUUUGACCUCGGAUCAGGUAGGAAUACCCGCUGAACUUAAGCAUAUCAAAA
This 552-nucleotide ribosomal RNA is filed under the name Diaporthales sp. E9919c. RNAcentral describes it as "eukaryotic LSU rRNA". The stretch from base 190 to 343 matches the Rfam family "5.8S ribosomal RNA". Lineage: Eukaryota; Fungi; Ascomycota; Sordariomycetes; Diaporthales. The record is from RNAcentral.